RNAcentral lists this ribosomal RNA (433 nucleotides) under uncultured bacterium. RNAcentral's name for it is "partial 16S ribosomal RNA". It matches the Rfam family "Bacterial small subunit ribosomal RNA", at positions 29 to 507 of the family's 1533-position model. The record is from RNAcentral.
AACGAACGCUGGCGGCUUGCCUAACACAUGCAAGUCGAACGAUACCUUCUGGUCUUGUUGCGCACCGUUGCGUCCCGCCUGGGAACCUACCCGUAGGUUCCGAAUAACUCCCUGAGAGGGAUGCUCAGACCGCAGGAUGUCUUCUCACCAAAGAUUUAUCGCAUUUUGCUGGGCCCGCGUUGGAUUAGCUGGUUGGUAGGGUAAAAGCCUACCAAGGCGAGGUUCCAUAGCUGGUCUGAUAGGAUGAUCAGCCACACUGGAACUGAGACACGGCCCAGACUGGUACGGGAGGCAGCAGUGGAGAACAUUGGACACUGGGCGAAAGCCUGAUCCCGCAAGGACGCGUGAGUGAUGACGGGAUUAGGGUUGUAAAGCUCUUUUACGCGGGAUGAUAAUGACAGUACUGGGAGAAGAAGCUCCGGCUAACUCCGUG